GCGCGCGCUGAGCGAUCGCGGCCGGAGGCGCCGGUGAUCCCGGAGCGGGCCGC
RNAcentral lists this unclassified non-coding RNA (53 nucleotides) under Sorangium cellulosum So ce56. Its description in RNAcentral is "sce_HepC_CRE_6". Lineage: Bacteria; Pseudomonadati; Myxococcota; Polyangiales; Polyangiaceae. The record is from RNAcentral.